UACGUAGGGCGCAAGCGUUAUCCGGAAUUAUUGGGCGUAAAGAGCUCGUAGGCGGUCUGUCGCGUCUGGUGUGAAAACUCAAGGCUUAACCUUGGGCCUGCAUCGGGUACGGGCAGACUAGAGUGCGGUAGGGGAGACUGGAAUUCCUGGUGUAGCGGUGAAAUGCGCAGAUAUCAGGAGGAAUACCGGUGGCGAAAGCGACUCUCUGGGCGGCAACUGACGCUGAGGCACGAAAGCGUGGGGAGCAAACAGG
This 253-nucleotide ribosomal RNA is filed under the name uncultured bacterium. Its description in RNAcentral is "partial 16S ribosomal RNA". It matches the Rfam family "Bacterial small subunit ribosomal RNA", at positions 524 to 776 of the family's 1533-position model. The record is from RNAcentral.